GUGGGGAAUAUUGCACAAUGGGCGAAAGCCUGAUGCAGCAACGCCGCGUGAGGGACGACGGCCUUCGGGUUGUAAACCUCUUUUCGUAGGGAAGAAGCGAAAGUGACGGUACCUGCAGAAAAAGCACCGACUAACUACGUUCCAGCAGCCUCGGUAAUACGUAGGGUGCAAGCGUUAUCCGGAAUUAUUGGGCGUAAAGAGCUCGUAGGCGGUCUGUCGCGUCUGCUGUGAAAACUGGAGGCUCAACCGCCAGCCUGCAGUGGGUACGGGCAGACUAGAGUGCGGUAGGGGAGAGUGGAAUUCCUGGUGUAGCGGUGGAAUGCGCAGAUAUCAGGAGGAACACCGAUGGCGAAGGCAGAUCUCUGGGCCGUAACUGACGCUGAGGAGCGAAAGCGUGGGGAGCGAACAGGAUUAGAUACCCGAGUAGUCC
Molecule: ribosomal RNA, 430 nt
Filed under: uncultured bacterium
Lineage: Bacteria
Description: bacterial SSU rRNA
Rfam family: Bacterial small subunit ribosomal RNA
Source: RNAcentral